GACGAACGCUGGCGGCGUGCUUAACACAUGCAAGUCGAACGGAAAGGCCCUGCUUUUGUGGGGUGCUCGUGUGGCGAACGGGUGUGUAACACGUGAGUAACCUGCCCUUUACUUUGGGAUAACUUCAGGAAACUGGGGCUCAUACCGGAUAUGAGCUCCUGCUGCAUGGUGGGGGUUGGAAAGUUUCGGCGGUUGGGGAUGGACUCGCGGCUUAUCAGCUUGUUGGUGGGGUAGUGGCUUACCAAGGCUUUGACGGGUAGCCGGCCUGCGAGGGUGACCGGCCACAUUGGGACGGAGGAGCGGCCCAGACUGCAACGGGAGGCAGCAGUGGGGAAUAGUGCACAAUGGGCGGAAGGAUGAUGCAGCAACGCCGCGUGCGGGAUGACGGCCUUCGGGUUGGAAACCGCUUUCGCCUGUGACGAAGCGUGAGUGACGGUAAUGGGUAAAGAAGCACCGGCUAACUACGUG
RNAcentral lists this ribosomal RNA (468 nucleotides) under uncultured bacterium. Its description in RNAcentral is "partial 16S ribosomal RNA". It matches the Rfam family "Bacterial small subunit ribosomal RNA", at positions 28 to 507 of the family's 1533-position model. The record is from RNAcentral.